This 274-nucleotide ribosomal RNA is filed under the name uncultured bacterium. RNAcentral describes it as "partial 16S ribosomal RNA". It matches the Rfam family "Bacterial small subunit ribosomal RNA", at positions 523 to 796 of the family's 1533-position model. The record is from RNAcentral.
AUACGGAGGGUGCGAGCGUUACUCGGGGUCACUGGGCGUAAAGCGUCCGUAGGCGGUCGGGUAAGUCGGGUGUGAAAGCCCCGGGCUCAACCUGGGAAGUGCACCCGAUACUGCUCGACUCGAGUGCGGGAGAGGAUGGCGGAAUUCCCGGUGUAGCGGUGAAAUGCGUAGAGAUCGGGAGGAACACCAGUGGCGAAGGCGGCCAUCUGGCCCGCAACUGACGCUGAGGGACGAAAGCGUGGGGAGCAAACAGGAUUAGAAACCCUAGUAGUCC